GACGUUACGCACGACUUUAAUUAUGGUCCGUAAAUUUAUUCGCAAAUGUGAGUUACGGUGCCGUGGCAUUUUACUUGAUAUUUGAACGAGAACGUGAGGUGCAGUGCGCACGCACAAGGAAACAAAUGACGGGAGGGGGAAGAAAGGAUAAGGAGUUUAUAUAUUUGCAGCGCGAAAUUAAACAGGUGUGAUCAUACCAGCACUAAUGCACCAGAACCCAUU
This 222-nucleotide long non-coding RNA is filed under the name Carica papaya (papaya). Its description in RNAcentral is "long non-coding RNA (CPAP_LNC000237)". Lineage: Eukaryota; Viridiplantae; Streptophyta; Magnoliopsida; Brassicales; Caricaceae. The record is from RNAcentral.